This is a long non-coding RNA of Cyprinus carpio (common carp), 1895 nucleotides long. The record is from Ensembl. NCBI's taxonomy places the organism in Eukaryota, Metazoa, Chordata, Actinopteri, Cypriniformes, Cyprinidae.
UGAUGACCAAAUACACUACAGGACAUUUUAGAAUAAUUAAGAUUAUAUAAUGUUUGUGAAAGAAGUAUCUUCUGCUCCCCAAGGCUGCAUUUAUAUGGUCAAAAAUACAGAAAAAUUGUGAAAUGUUAUUACAGUUUAAAAUAGCUGUUUUCUGUGUGAAUCUCUGUUAAAGUGUAAUUUAUUUCUGUGAUGCGAAGCUGUAUUUUCAGCAUCAUUACUCCAGUCUUCAGUGUCACAUGAUCUUCAGAAAUCAUAAUAAUAUACUGAUUUACUGCUCAAGAAACAUUUCUGAUUAUUAUCAAUGUUGAAAUCAGUUUUUGCCUUCCAUAGGCCAUAUUUCAAGCAUUUAAUCAAUCAGAAGGUCAGUUUCUCUCUUACACUCACUAUCUGCUGUUGUUUGGAGUAUCAAAAGUGUUUUCCUCAAGAAUGCGCUCAGAGUUCAUCAUCAGAGAGAAACUAGUGACUCAUAUAAAGUAUUCCUGCAUCUCACAGCAAAUCACAUUGUUCCAGUGUACUAUUGACCUAUCAGUAAGCCCCGUCCCCCUUAGAUACUGUUGCUCACUUGUGACACAAAAUAUGGAGUUGCUCACUGUCUUACAAUGACAGCUGUCAGUGAAAACCUUCUUCCAAGGUGUUUCUGAUCAAUUUGGGACACAGUUGGACCUUCAAGUGGGACUUGAAUAUACCAUGGAGGGAUAUAUAAAAGAUAUUAAAAUAAAUAUGUAAAAAUACAGAUCACAAUGCAAAUGGGAAGAUUAUAUUACUUCAUAUUAAUCAUCACGAUCGCAAUGGCAACAUCCCGGAUCAACACCGUUCAUAUACUGCAGGAGUCUGUAAACGGCGUUAACAGAGGCCAGAGACACAGAGGAGAAUGCAGUUUCUGUGUGAAUGAUCAGUGGUGGAACUGCCUGCGAUCGUGGACGGACUUACCAUUGGGCUUGAGUGGGCUGCAACCCAUGGGCCCCGCCUUGUAGAGGGCCCCACCUUUGCCCAUUUAUGUUUGUUUGAUUUGUUCAUUAUAUGCCAGUCAGAAUUCAGAAAUGAUUAGCCGCAUUUCCAAUGUGCAUGCAAGAUCUAAAUGGGCCAGCUUACAACUACGACCUUCAAGGCCACAAUCAAACAGCAUAAACUGGUAUUUAUGAUUAUUUCACAUAGAAGGACACACAUAUUGAAUCGUGUCUGCACCGAUUGGUUUGUUAUCACAUGGCUACUUUAAACAGCUCCAUUAAGCCUUUAGCCCCAAAGAGCGCACAUUUAGAAAGAUAAUGAUAAAUUCUGAAAUGUUCACACAUCAUUUCUUUACAGAGGAUGAUUCUAUAUUACUAUAUUAAUGUUCCACUAAAUUAUGCGAUCAUCUGAUGAGUUUUGAGUAAUCUCUCGUCUUACUGCCAUUACACAUAGUUGGGAAGAAAUGUCAUCAAAAAGAUUAUAAAUUUAAAAAAAACAAUUUAAUAAGUUUCUAUUUUUAUAACAUAGCUAUGCCUAUGAUAUAGGACUUAGCCUAUCACACAAACAAGAGUCGUGUUUUUUUUUUUUUUUUUCGAAUAUCUGAACGAUCGCAAAUGUACAAUACACAACACAAAAUUCCAUUUUGCUCUGUCAGAAAGAAAACAAAACAAACAGCAGAACUGCUGUGUCACCGGACAGCAGUGUUUUGUUCCUCAGCGUUACAUGGACAGUAAAUGAUUCAAUCAGGCUAUAAGUACAGUAGUUAAAAAAGUUAAAGAAUCAGCUUUUUAAAGGAAUCGGUUGAUUCAGCUCACUCAUUAAGACAGUCACUUGCUGCCACCUACUGGCGGUUGCAGUUUCAUAUUUAAAAAAAGUAGCUUAUUUCAUUUUUGCAAUCAUUUAAUAUUUCUGCAUUCAAAUGUUAUAUUAAAACUUAACAUUUAUAC